Molecule: ribosomal RNA, 507 nt
Filed under: uncultured bacterium
Lineage: Bacteria
Description: partial 16S ribosomal RNA
Rfam family: Bacterial small subunit ribosomal RNA
Source: RNAcentral
GACGAACGCUGGCGGCGUGCCUAAUACAUGCAAGUCGAACGCAUUUUCUUUCACCGUAGCUUGCUACACCGAAAGAAAAUGAGUGGCGAACGGGUGAGUAACACGUGGGUAACCUGCCCAUCAGCGGGGGAUAACACUUGGAAACAGGUGCUAAUACCGCAUAAUUCCAUUUACCGCAUGGUAAAUGGAUGAAAGGCGCUUUUGCGUCACUGAUGGAUGGACCCGCGGUGCAUUAGCUAGUUGGUGGGGUAACGGCCUACCAAGGCUGCGAUGCAUAGCCGACCUGAGAGGGUGAUCGGCCACACUGGGACUGAGACACGGCCCAGACUCCUACGGGAGGCAGCAGUAGGGAAUCUUCGGCAAUGGACGCAAGUCUGACCGGGCAACGCCGCGUGAGUGAAGAAGGUUUUCGGAUUGUAAAACUCUGUUGUUAGAGAAGAACAAGGAUGAGAGUGGAAAGUUCAUCCCUUGACGGUAUCUAACCAGAAAGCCACGGCUAACUACGUG